Molecule: ribosomal RNA, 890 nt
Filed under: Euops pustulosus
Lineage: Eukaryota; Metazoa; Arthropoda; Insecta; Coleoptera; Attelabidae
Description: eukaryotic LSU rRNA
Rfam family: Eukaryotic large subunit ribosomal RNA
Source: RNAcentral
GGAAAGAACUAACUAGGAUUCCCUUAGUAGCUGCGAGCGAACCGGGAGAAGCCCAGCACCGAAUCUCACGGUCGACUUUGCGGACGUGUAGAAAUGUGGUGUUAGGGAGGACCGUUUUAUCUCGAAGUGUUAUGGUGUGUCCAAGUCCUUCUUGAACGGGGCCACAGCCCAUAGAGGGUGCCAGGCCUGUAGUGACUGCCAUUCACGUGUGAGAUGGUCUCUCCUCAGAGUCGGGUUGCUUGAGAGUGCAGCCCUAAGUGGGUGGUAAACUCCAUCUAAGGCUAAAUAUAACCACGAGACCGAUAGCGAACAAGUACCGUGAGGGAAAGUUGAAAAGCACUUUGAAGAGAGAGUUCAAGAGUACGUGAAACCGUUUAGGGGUAAACCUGAGAAACCCGAAAGGUCGAAUGGGGAAAUUCAAUCGCAUUUCGGCACUGUAUGACAGAAUUGGAGAUUGGUUGUGGGAGCGCAUCGUACAAUUUUGUCUCGUACAAAAUUAUCAUAGCGCCCUUUCCGCUUCAAUUAAACUGUCUCCGAACGCGUGCACUUUUCCCCUAGUAGGACGUUGUGACCCGUUGAGCGUCGGUCUAAGACUUGUGCGGUGGAGCCCGUAGAAUCAACCGUAAGGUUGUUAAACUUUUACGGACCCGUCUUGUUUUCUGGCCGACAUGCCCGACGGUCGUAUAUUUAAAGGCGCGGGGCCGCUAUCGAUCACUGCUCUUAUGAAGUAGUGAAAGUAUAAUUAGCAUCCUAGCAGCAGCAAGCGCAUCCGGUGUAUCAAUAAUAGGAUCUAAUGCCGUUACUGUACCCGUGGUGAUUGUUUGUUGUUGUUUAAUAGGAUAGACCCCGAUAAUUGAAACGCCGCUUCCACGACGAUAUAGCUUUGGGUA